AAAAUGCGAUAAGUAAUGUGAAUUGCAGAAUUCAGUGAAUCAUCGAAUCUUUGAACGCACAUUGCGCCCGCCAGUAUUCUGGCGGGCAUGCCUUUUCGAGCGUCAUUUCAACCCUCAAGCCCCCGGGUUUGGUGUUGGGGAUCGGGCUGCGGUUCUACCGCGUCCCGGCCCCGAAAUCUAGUGGCGGUCUCGCUGCAGCCUCCAUUGCGUAGUAGCUAACACCUCGCAACUGGAACGCGGCGCGGCCAAGCCGUUAAACCCCCAACUUCUGAAUGUUGACCUCGGAUCAGGUAGGAAUACCCGCUGAACUUAAGC
This 315-nucleotide unclassified non-coding RNA is filed under the name plant metagenome. RNAcentral's name for it is "partial contains 5.8S ribosomal RNA, internal transcribed spacer 2, and large subunit ribosomal RNA". The stretch from base 1 to 105 matches the Rfam family "5.8S ribosomal RNA", at positions 50 to 154 of the family's 154-position model. The record is from RNAcentral.